Molecule: ribosomal RNA, 253 nt
Filed under: uncultured bacterium
Lineage: Bacteria
Description: partial 16S ribosomal RNA
Rfam family: Bacterial small subunit ribosomal RNA
Source: RNAcentral
UACGAAGGGGGCUAGCGUUGCUCGGAAUCACUGGGCGUAAAGGGUGCGUAGGCGGGUUUUUAAGUCAGAGGUGAAAUCCUGGAGCUCAACUCCAGAACUGCCUUUGAUACUGAAGAUCUUGAGUCCGGAAGAGGUGAGUGGAACUGCGAGUGUAGAGGUGAAAUUCGUAGAUAUUCGCAAGAACACCAGUGGCGAAGGCGGCUGUCUGGUCCGGUUCUGACGCUGAGGCGCGAAAGCGUGGGGAGCAAACAGG